AUUGAACGCUGGCGGCAUGCCUUACACAUGCAAGUCGAACGGCAGCACGGGAGCAAUCCUGGUGGCGAGUGGCGAACGGGUGAGUAAUAUAUCGGAACGUGCCCGGUCGUGGGGGAUAACGUAGCGAAAGCUACGCUAAUACCGCAUACGAUCUACGGAUGAAAGCGGGGGAUCGCAAGACCUCGCGCGAUUGGAGCGGCCGAUAUCAGAUUAGGUAGUUGGUGAGGUAAAGGCUCACCAAGCCGACGAUCUGUAGCUGGUCUGAGAGGACGACCAGCCACACUGGGACUGAGACACGGCCCAGACUCCUACGGGAGGCAGCAGUGGGGAAUUUUGGACAAUGGGCGGCAAGCCUGAUCCAGCAAUGCCGCGUGCAGGA
This 379-nucleotide ribosomal RNA is filed under the name uncultured bacterium. Its description in RNAcentral is "bacterial SSU rRNA". It matches the Rfam family "Bacterial small subunit ribosomal RNA", at positions 29 to 408 of the family's 1533-position model. The record is from RNAcentral.